CGGCAUGCUUUACACAUGCAAGUCGAACGGUAACAGGCCUUCGGGUGCUGACGAGUGGCGAACGGGUGAGUAAUGCAUCGGAACGUGCCCAGUCGUGGGGGAUAACGUAGCGAAAGCUACGCUAAUACCGCAUAAUCUCUGAGGAGAAAAGUGGGGGAUCGAAAGACCUCAUGCUUUUGGAGCGGCCGAUGUCUGAUUAGCUAGUUGGUGGGGUAAUGGCCUACCAAGGCGACGAUCAGUAGUUGGUCUGAGAGGAUGGCCAGCCACACUGGGACUGAGACACGGCCCANACUUCUACGGGAGGCAGCAGUGGGGAAUUUUGGACAAUGGGCGAAAGCCUGAUCCAGCAAUGCCGCGUGAGUGAAGAAGGCCUUCGGGUUGUAAAGCUCUUUCAGUUGAGAAGAAAAAAUUGUGACUAAUACUUGCAAUUCAUGACAGUAUCAACAGAAGAAGCACCGGCUAACUACGUGCCAGCAGCCGCGGUAAUACGUAGGGUGCAAGCGUUAAUCGGAAUUAUU
RNAcentral lists this ribosomal RNA (518 nucleotides) under uncultured bacterium. RNAcentral's name for it is "bacterial SSU rRNA". It matches the Rfam family "Bacterial small subunit ribosomal RNA", at positions 40 to 555 of the family's 1533-position model. The record is from RNAcentral.